RNAcentral lists this ribosomal RNA (391 nucleotides) under uncultured bacterium. RNAcentral's name for it is "bacterial SSU rRNA". It matches the Rfam family "Bacterial small subunit ribosomal RNA", at positions 30 to 423 of the family's 1533-position model. The record is from RNAcentral.
AUUGAACGCUGGCGGCAUGCCUUACACAUGCAAGUCGAACGGCAGCACGGGGCAACCUGGUGGCGAGUGGCGAACGGGUGAGUAAUGCAUCGGAACGUGCCAUUGAGUGGGGGAUAACGUAGCGAAAGUUGCGCUAAUACCGCAUAUUCUGUGAGCAGGAAAGCAGGGGACCGCAAGGCCUUGCGCUCUUUGAGCGGCCGAUGUCAGAUUAGCUAGUUGGUGAGGUAACGGCUUACCAAGGCGACGAUCUGUAGCGGGUCUGAGAGGAUGAUCCGCCACACUGGAACUGAGACACGGUCCAGACUCCUACGGGAGGCAGCAGUGGGGAAUUUUGGACAAUGGGCGCAAGCCUGAUCCAGCCAUGCCGCGUGAGUGAAGAAGGCCUCGGUGU